GACGAACGCUGGCGGCGUGCUUAACACAUGCAAGUCGAGCGAUGAAGUUUCUUCGGAAAUGGAUUAGCGGCGAACGGGUGAGGAACACGUGAAGAAUCUGCCCUCCACUUUGGGAUAACACAGGGAAACCUGUGCUAAUACCGAAUAUUGAAACAUAAGUGGCAUCACUGAGUUUUGAAAGAACUUCGGUGGAGGAUGACUUCGCGGCCUAUCAGCUAGUUGGUGAGGUAAUGGCUCACCAAGGCAACGACGGGUAGCCGGCCUGAGAGGGCGACCGGCCACACUGGGACUGAGACACGGCCCAGACUCCUACGGGAGGCAGCAGUGGGGAAUAUUGGGCAAUGGAGGAAACUCUGACCCAGCGACGCCGCGUGCGGGAUGAAGGCCUUCGGGUUGUAAACCGCUUUCAGUAGGGAAGAAGCGAAAGUGACGGUACCUACAAAAGAAGCACCGGCUAACUAUGUGCCAGCAGCCGCCGUAA
Molecule: ribosomal RNA, 481 nt
Filed under: uncultured bacterium
Lineage: Bacteria
Description: partial 16S ribosomal RNA
Rfam family: Bacterial small subunit ribosomal RNA
Source: RNAcentral